This 806-nucleotide ribosomal RNA is filed under the name uncultured bacterium. RNAcentral describes it as "bacterial SSU rRNA". It matches the Rfam family "Bacterial small subunit ribosomal RNA", at positions 8 to 812 of the family's 1533-position model. The record is from RNAcentral.
AGAGGUUUUUUCUGGCUCAGGAUGAACGCUGGCGGCGUGCUUAACACAUGCAAGUCGAACGAAGCACUUUAUUUGAUUUCCUUCGGGACUGAUUAUUUUGUGACUGAGUGGCGGACGGGUGAGUAACGCGUGGGUAACCUGCCUUGUACAGGGGGAUAACAGUUGGAAACGGCUGCUAAUACCGCAUAAGCGCACAGCAUCGCAUGAUGCAGUGUGAAAAACUCCGGUGGUAUAAGAUGGACCCGCGUUGGAUUAGCUAGUUGGUGAGGUAACGGCCCACCAAGGCGACGAUCCAUAGCCGACCUAAGAGGUUGAACGGCCACAUUGGGACUGAGACACGGCCCAGACUCCUACGGGAGGCAGCAGUGGGGGAUAUUGCACAAUGGGGGAAACCCUGAUGCAGCGACGCCGCGUGGAGGAAGAAGGUUUUCGGAUUGUAAACUCCUGUCGUUAGGGACGAUAAUGACGGUACCUAACAAGAAAGCACCGGCUAACUACGUGCCAGCAGCCGCGGUAAAACGUAGGGUGCAAGCGUUGUCCGGAAUUACUGGGUGUAAAGGGAGCGCAGGCGGACCGGCAAGUUGGAAGUGAAAACUAUGGGCUCAACCCAUAAAUUGCUUUCAAAACUGCUGGCCUUGAGUAGUGCAGAGGUAGGUGGAAUUCCCGGUGUAGCGGUGGAAUGCGUAGAUAUCGGGAGGAACACCAGUGGCGAAGGCGACCUACUGGGCACCAACUGACGCUGAGGCUCGAAAGCAUGGGUAGCAAACAGGAUUAGAUACCCUGGUAGUCCAUGCCGUAAACGAUGA